RNAcentral lists this unclassified non-coding RNA (205 nucleotides) under uncultured Thelephoraceae. Its description in RNAcentral is "sequence contains ITS1". The record is from RNAcentral. Lineage: Eukaryota; Fungi; Basidiomycota; Agaricomycetes; Thelephorales; Thelephoraceae.
CUGAGUUGUUGACAUGAGCUGUUGCUGGUCCUCAAAACCAAGGGGGCAUGUGCACGCUCUGUUCACACAUCCACUCACACCUGUGCACCCACCGUAGUUCUAUGGUCUGGAGGACUUGCCGUCCUCUUCCCGUGGUUCUACGUCUUUACACAUACACCGUAGCGAAGUCUUAUGGAAUGUGCGCCGCGUUUAACGCAAUACAAUA